AGGGUUGUAGCUCAGAGGUAGAACAUAUGCUUUGCAUGCAGAAGGUCCCUGUUUCAAUCCCUGGCAUCUCUA
This 72-nucleotide transfer RNA is filed under the name Podarcis lilfordi (Lilford's wall lizard). It matches the Rfam family "tRNA". Rfam says of the family: Transfer RNA (tRNA) molecules are approximately 80 nucleotides in length. Their secondary structure includes four short double-helical elements and three loops (D, anti-codon, and T loops). The record is from Rfam by way of RNAcentral. Lineage: Eukaryota; Metazoa; Chordata; Lepidosauria; Squamata; Lacertidae.